GGUGAAGCUACGUAGUGGCUUGCCAUACUAAACUAGAAUGCCUGGUCACAUUUCAAGAGGAAAAUGUAUUAUCAAUUGAUUUCAUUCAAGUUACGAGGUUAAUCAAUUCCCAAUUGCCAGAGAUUUAUCCCUAAAGCGGGGUUCUAUCAUACUUAAUGGGAAGAUCAGAUGAAGCUGAGUGGUUGAAGAUCCAGUCACAGUAGUUCAAUCACCUCUCCCAUGUGUUUUUUUUUUAGGGUUUUCUCUUAGCAAGUCACUUCUCUCUAAUGGAGUUGUCCAGUCCACUCUUGCCUCCCUAAAUAAUUUUUUCCAUAAGAACCAGCUAUGAGAAUGAGAAGUAUCAACCUAAAUUGGCAGCUAUGCAAACAAACAUGCACUGAGGACAACCGACAACAGUGGCUGACUUCUUAUUUU
This is a long non-coding RNA of Rosa chinensis, 414 nucleotides long. RefSeq lists it as uncharacterized. NCBI's taxonomy places the organism in Eukaryota, Viridiplantae, Streptophyta, Magnoliopsida, Rosales, Rosaceae. The transcript is spliced from 3 exons. The record is from RefSeq and is a predicted model, not a curated record.